RNAcentral lists this unclassified non-coding RNA (3271 nucleotides) under Hevea brasiliensis (rubber tree). Lineage: Eukaryota; Viridiplantae; Streptophyta; Magnoliopsida; Malpighiales; Euphorbiaceae. The record is from RNAcentral.
GAGAGAGAGAGAGAGAGAGAUACAUACACAUACAAAACAGUGACAGUCCACAUUACUAGAGAUGAGGGGACCUUUGGGGGCGGUGAUAGGGAGAUACCCAUCAAGUGACGGAAGUUCCCAAGUUGUUGGAAUCAUUAGGCAAAAUAGGAAAUGCAGAGAUGUUCCGUUUCUUGUCAUUUUUAUAGCACUUUGGGUUGCCAUGAUUGUUAACUCUAGCUUUGGAUUUAACCAAGGAAACCCCUCAAGGCUUACUUAUGGGCUGGAUUACAAAGGAAAUGUGUGUGGUGAUAAGCAUGCAAAUCCGGAUCUUCAUGAAUUGGAGCUUAUGUAUUGGUUAAAUCCAAACCAGGUCUAUCUUAGCGGUUUGAAGAACAGCCAAUUCAAGUUGGCCAAUGCUCGGACUAUAUGUUUGUUGGAUUGCCCCAUUCCGUCUGAAGAUACACUAAAUUGGGUUUGUGAUUAUCCAGCAGGAGAUAUCCGUAUCUCAUUUAAUGAUUGGAUUGAUAGCAAUUAUGAUUAUUUUGAGUUUCUUACUCCUGAAAUGAGGAAUACAUCCCUUCAACUCCAGGGUCCUUGUUACCCUGUUAUAUUUCCUAGUGUAAAUGUUUUUUGGAGGUGUCAAUACAUUGCUCAUCCAUCAAAUGUAUCAUUGCGGCAUUGGCAGCAAAUGGGAGGAGUACACAUCAAUGAGGACAUUAUAAUAGACAAAUCCAUUCACAAAUCCAUUAAUGCUCGGUCAUCUGUGUUGAAGAGAUACAUGGCUGAUAUUGGAAAGGCAUGGCCUGUGUUGAUUGUCUGUGGGGGACUCUUGCCACUGUUUUUAUCAGUGAUUUGGCUGCUGAUGAUUCGGCAUUUUGUUGCCGCAAUGCCUUGGAUAACAGUUGCUCUCUUUGAUAUUCUCAUAAUAUUAGUAACAAUGUUUUCCUACUUGAAAGCUGGAUGGAUUAGGAAUGAUGCCAUCUCUCCUAUCAUUGGUGAGCAUGAUCCAUACUACCAUGUUUCUGGACGGGAACUAAGCCAUCUCCGCACUGUUGCUGUUCUCAUGACUGUUAUAAUGGUUGUCGCUAUCCUCACAUCAAUUGCUAUUGUUCGCCGCAUUCUUAUGGCAACAUCUGUCCUCAAGGUGGCUGCGAAGGUCAUAGGAGAAGUUCAAGCACUCAUAAUUUUUCCAGUUAUACCAUAUGUUGUCCUUGCAAUCUUUUAUAUGGUCUGGUUUUCGGCUGCUUUUCAUCUUUUUAGUUCUGGCCGAAUUGUCCAAAAUGACUGCGAUUCCAGCUGCUGUGCCUAUGACCUUGAGUCAAAAAAGGUUAGCUGUGAUCACUGCUGUGGCUAUAGCAUCCAUUAUACUUCUCAUAUAGCAGUUGCCAUCAUUUUCCACCUGUUUGGAUGUUACUGGGCUACACAAUUUUUUAUAGCUUGCUCUGCAACUGUGAUUGCUGGUUCUGUUGCCUCCUACUACUGGGCUCGUGGUGGGACAUCGCCGGAGAUUACAUUUCUUCCAGUUUUUUCCUCUAUGAAGCGGCUUAUGCGGUACAGCCUUGGGUCAGUUGCUCUUGGCUCCCUGACCGUGUCAUUUGUGGAAUCAGUUCGCUUCAUGCUUGAGUCAAUCCGUCGCAAACUGAAAGUUACUGGCACUACACCUGACGGCUGCAUAGGAAAGAUGGCGCAUCAUACUUCACAGUUUUGUCUGAGAUGUGUUGAGUGGACUAUAAAAUCUGUGAACCGCAAUGCUUACAUAAUGGUAAUGUAAUAAUGUCAAAUCUAGUUUCAAGAAAAGUUUAAAAUAUGUGUUGUGUGGAUUGCCCAUGGUUUUUAGGAUUCGGCCAUAUACCGUUAGUGAUUACCCUGUUAUAAGGUGGAAUUGUAGAGCAUACACAAGGAAAAUCGGAAAUUAGCAUUAAAGAUACUUUAUUUUCUCAUAGUUGCAUCUUGAUUUGCACUGUCAUAAUGUUUUUCCUUUUCCACUUCCAAGAAUUUUAUUGAAGCACUUGCAAUUUCAUAGAGUUUAUCUUUUCCACAAUCCAUAUGCCAAUAUUUGUCACUUUCGAUUUUAUUUGUUUGUGUGUGAUUUACUUGUGGCUUCUGCAGAUAGCUAUAACAGGUAAAAGCUUCUGUAGGGCAUCUGCAAUUGCAACUGAAUUGAUCAUGAACAACAUUCUUAGGAUUGGAAAGGUGAAUGUGAUUGGGGAUGUUAUUCUAUGUCUGGGAAAAUUAUGUGUUAGCCUUUUGAGUGCUGUUUUUGCUUUCCUCAUGUUGGAUACCCACAAAUAUAGAUCUGCUCAUAACAAGAUAACCUCCCCGCUGUUUCCCGUAUUGGUAUGUAUUUAUAUGAUUAGCUCUAUAUACUAUGGAGAAUUUAUGUACUUCAUUAUGCUAUGAUAACUAGUGAUUCAGAUGUCAUUUUUUUUUCAUCUUUUUGCAGGUUUGCUGGGCUCUAGGUUAUAUUGUUGCAACUCUUUUCUUUGCAGUGGUGGAGAUGUCAAUUGAUACUAUCAUUCUUUCAUUCUGCCAAGAUUCCGACGAGCACCAAGGGACUGCACAGUAUGCUCCUCCUCUUCUUAUUGAGACACUCAAUGAUCAAAAUGAGAUGCAGAGACUUACCCAAUGAUCCUACUGAAACAUGUCAAUGUAUAAGUUGCCAGAGUCACAUUUGCUUAGUGGAAUUUGAAAAUUCAAUUAUAUUACUUAGAGCACUCACUUAGGGGAAGAAAAAAAAAUUCUGGCCUGACUCAUCCUAUUUCCUUCUUCCCCCCCUCCCCCCUGAUCAUUUGAUCUUUGACUUUUUUAAAUUCGUUUUUCCAAUUUUCCUGGUUGCCUUAGCUAGUUGGUCUGAAACUGUAUAUUUGGGCUGUGCCUGUAUAUUUUAUAAUGAAGUCUCAAGAGUUUCAGAUCCGGAAGAGCUGUUGGUUUAAACAUUGUUUUUUGGUAGGAAAGGUGGGCUUAUCACUGGUCAAGGGUGAGCAGUGUUAUUCUUUGUUGGGUUGUUUAUAAGGUUGGCUAUACCACCUGAUCCAUCCUUAUCUCAUAAGCUGUCUAAUCAACAACCAGGGCACAGAAGUUGUAACACAAUCUUCUCCCAUCAUGGAUUCACCAUGGACGUCUCACUGCAAACAAUUUUACGUAUUAUGUCGAGAUUAGUACAAAUUAUUAAAUUCUUAUGAUCUCUAUACUUCCAAUUGUGAAAAUGAUGAUUUGCAUCUGUCAUGAGAAACUUCACGAUCAAUUAUUGACGAACAAAAAGAAUUUAGAAUCCAGCAUGAAGUGAUGCAUA